GACGAACGCUGGCGGCGUGCCUAAUACAUGCAAGUAGAACGCUGAAGAGAGGAGCUUGCUCUUCUUGGAUGAGUUGCGAACGGGUGAGUAACGCGUAGGUAACCUGCCUUGUAGCGGGGGAUAACUAUUGGAGACGAUAGCUAAUACCGCAUAACAAUGGAUGACACAUGUCAUUUAUUUGAAAGGGGCAAUUGCUCCACUACAAGAUGGACCUGCGUUGUAUUAGCUAGUAGGUGAGGUAAUGGCUCACCUAGGCGACGAUACAUAGCCGACCUGAGAGGGUGAUCAGCCACACUGGGACUGAGACACGGCCCAGACUCCUACGGGAGGCAGCAGUAGGGAAUCUUCGGCAAUGGGGGCAACCCUGACCGAGCAACGCCGCGUGAGUGAAGAAGGUUUUCGGAUCGUAAAGCUCUGUUGUAAGUCAAGAACGGGUGUGAGAGUGGAAAGUUCACACUGUGACGGUAGCUUACCAGAAAGGGACGGCUAACUACGUG
Molecule: ribosomal RNA, 497 nt
Filed under: uncultured bacterium
Lineage: Bacteria
Description: partial 16S ribosomal RNA
Rfam family: Bacterial small subunit ribosomal RNA
Source: RNAcentral